CGGGGAUUGGCGCAGUUGGUAGCGCGCUUGUUUUGGGAACAAGAGGCCGUGAGUUCGAAUCUCGCAUCCCCGACCA
This 76-nucleotide transfer RNA is filed under the name Clostridia bacterium. RNAcentral describes it as "tRNA-Pro". It matches the Rfam family "tRNA". From Rfam's summary of the family: Transfer RNA (tRNA) molecules are approximately 80 nucleotides in length. Their secondary structure includes four short double-helical elements and three loops (D, anti-codon, and T loops). The record is from RNAcentral. Lineage: Bacteria; Bacillati; Bacillota; Clostridia.